Molecule: non-coding RNA, 115 nt
Organism: Danio rerio (zebrafish)
Lineage: Eukaryota; Metazoa; Chordata; Actinopteri; Cypriniformes; Danionidae
Source: Rfam
GCCGGCAGCUAGCUCUCUGCAACUCUCACAUGGUCGCCCACUGAAGCUAAGCAGGGCUGUGCCCGGCCAGUACCUGGAUGGGACACCACAUGGGAAAGCUAGGUUGCUGCCGGAA